AGCGCUCAGACUCCUCUGAGCCCGCCGGGGUUCGCUGGUGUGGUAAAUGGUUUUUUCCUACCUCUUCAACUAGCCAUUGGAUUCCCGAGUCUUCAAAUCAUGAGAGUGAUGUUCCAGAACUGCCACACUGAGCUGUAAAGUUCAGCUGGGCCUCAGAGCUGUGGCACUUGGCUGCAACGCUGAGCUGUAAAACUCAGCCAUGCCUCUGAGCUGUGGCACUUAGCUGAGACACUAAGCUGGAACACUUGGCUGUAGCACUGAGCUGCUCUGCUCUGCUGCAAUAGUUUUGUAGGAUGUCUCAGUCUGCGUUGGAAGUUGUGGUCUUUUAUGGCUUGAAACACUUCACUCCAUACUCUCCUGGCCUUUCAGAUCCUCCUUUGUUGCCAGUUCAGG
This 393-nucleotide long non-coding RNA is filed under the name Heterocephalus glaber (naked mole-rat). RNAcentral's name for it is "lncRNA (ENSHGLG00000027593.2)". Lineage: Eukaryota; Metazoa; Chordata; Mammalia; Rodentia; Bathyergidae. The record is from RNAcentral.